This 327-nucleotide unclassified non-coding RNA is filed under the name soil metagenome. RNAcentral describes it as "partial contains 5.8S ribosomal RNA, internal transcribed spacer 2, and large subunit ribosomal RNA". The stretch from base 1 to 120 matches the Rfam family "5.8S ribosomal RNA", at positions 35 to 154 of the family's 154-position model. The record is from RNAcentral.
GAUGAAGAACGCAGCGAAAUGCGAUAAGUAAUGUGAAUUGCAGAAUUCAGUGAAUCAUCGAAUCUUUGAACGCACAUUGCGCCCCUUGGUAUUCCGAGGGGCAUGCCUGUUCGAGCGUCAUUAUAACCCCUCAAGCUCAGCUUGGUGUUGGGGCCUGCUGCACUGGCAGCCCUUAAAAUCAGUGGCGGCGCCAUCUGGCUCUAAGCGUAGUAAUUCUUCUCGCUAUGGAGUCCUGGUGGAUGCUUGCCAUCAACCCCCAAUUUUCUAUGGUUGACCUCGGAUCAGGUAGGGAUACCCGCUGAACUUAAGCAUAUCAAUAGCGGAGGA